RNAcentral lists this transfer RNA (64 nucleotides) under Cavia porcellus (domestic guinea pig). It matches the Rfam family "tRNA", at positions 1 to 62 of the family's 71-position model. Rfam says of the family: Transfer RNA (tRNA) molecules are approximately 80 nucleotides in length. Their secondary structure includes four short double-helical elements and three loops (D, anti-codon, and T loops). Further hydrogen bonds mediate the characteristic L-shaped molecular structure. tRNAs have two regions of fundamental functional importance: the anti-codon, which is responsible for specific mRNA codon recognition, and the 3' end, to which the tRNAs corresponding amino acid is attached (by aminoacyl-tRNA synthetases). tRNAs cope with the degeneracy of the genetic code in two manners: having more than one tRNA (with a specific anti-codon) for a particular amino acid; and 'wobble' base-pairing, i.e. permitting non-standard base-pairing at the 3rd anti-codon position. Lineage: Eukaryota; Metazoa; Chordata; Mammalia; Rodentia; Caviidae. The record is from Rfam by way of RNAcentral.
GGGGAUUUAGCUCAGCGGCAUAAGCGCCUGCCUUGCAAGCAGGCGGUCUUAAGUUCGAUCCCCA